UACGAAGGGGGCUAGCGUUGCUCGGAAUCACUGGGCGUAAAGCGCACGUAGGCGGCUUCUAAGUCAGGGUGAAUCCUGGAGCUCAACUCCAGAACUGCCUUUGAUACUGGAGAGCUUGAGUCCGGGAGAGGUGAGUGGAACUGCGAGUGUAGAGGUGAAAUUCGUAGAUAUUCGGAGGAACACCAGUGGCGAAGGCGGCAUCCUGGACCGGUAUUGACGCUGAGGCGCGAAAGCCAGGGAGCAAACGGG
Molecule: ribosomal RNA, 249 nt
Filed under: uncultured bacterium
Lineage: Bacteria
Description: partial 16S ribosomal RNA
Rfam family: Bacterial small subunit ribosomal RNA
Source: RNAcentral